This 519-nucleotide ribosomal RNA is filed under the name Sphingomonas yabuuchiae. RNAcentral describes it as "bacterial SSU rRNA". It matches the Rfam family "Bacterial small subunit ribosomal RNA", at positions 35 to 598 of the family's 1533-position model. The record is from RNAcentral. Lineage: Bacteria; Pseudomonadati; Pseudomonadota; Alphaproteobacteria; Sphingomonadales; Sphingomonadaceae.
GCUGGCGGCAUGCCUAACACAUGCAAGUCGAACGAGGCCCUUCGGGGUUUAGUGGCGCACGGGUGCGUAACGCGUGGGAAUCUGCCCUUUGGUUCGGAAUAACAGCUGGAAACGGCUGCUAAUACCGGAUGAUGACGAAAGUCCAAAGAUUUAUCGCCAGAGGAUGAGCCCGCGUUGGAUUAGGUAGUUGGUGGGGUAAAGGCCUACCAAGCCGACGAUCCAUAGCUGGUCUGAGAGGAUGAUCAGCCACACUGGGACUGAGACACGGCCCAGACUCCUACGGGAGGCAGCAGUGGGGAAUAUUGGACAAUGGGCGAAAGCCUGAUCCAGCAAUGCCGCGUGAGUGAUGAAGGCCCUAGGGUUGUAAAGCUCUUUUACCCGGGAAGAUAAUGACUGUACCGGGAGAAUAAGCCCCGGCUAACUCCGUGCCAGCAGCCGCGGUAAUACGGAGGGGGCUAGCGUUGUUCGGAAUUACUGGGCGUAAAGCGCACGUAGGCGGCUUUGUAAGUCAGAGGUGAA